This 1165-nucleotide long non-coding RNA is filed under the name Calidris pygmaea (Spoon-billed sandpiper). RNAcentral's name for it is "lncRNA (ENSCPGG00000003338.1)". Lineage: Eukaryota; Metazoa; Chordata; Aves; Charadriiformes; Scolopacidae. The record is from RNAcentral.
UUUGCUUUUUUUAUCAGCCAGAAAGCAAAUUUUAUUGACUUGAGUUCUGUUAAUACUGCUAAUAUCGAUUGGACGUUAAUAAUUAAAAACAGUUCACAAAGCUGGAGCAAACUUUGCAUCCUACCAGAGAAACUGGAAGUUGGCUUCAGGCCAGUUUCAGUUCUGAAAAUUGCACCUUUGAUAGCAGUCUUCUUGUCUGAUAAGAGAUGUUAGUUCACACAUAAGGCCAAAAAACUUGUGCCAAAGAUCUUGGUGUAUGGCAAGUAAAACUGCAGAAGGCAGGCAUUUAAGGAGAGGGAGGGAUUCUGAGAAGAAACAGACAUGGGUAAGGAUCCUGUAGCUAAGGAAAUGGGAGGAGUUUUAAUAUAAUUGCUCUAGUUGACUUGUAAUAAAAUGUGCUACUUUGAUUUGUUAAAACGGGAAAAGUGUUAGUCCUUGAUUUCAUGUGCCUCUACUGAAUUACUGGUUUUCAGAGUUUACACAGAAGAGUGAUUAAAAAGUACUGAUUUUCUGGGAUUCUUUCUGCUUAAGAAGAUGGCAUCUGCUUCCAUUGAUGGUAGCCCUGCUUUCCAUUGGAUCCUAUGAAAUGUCUACCUUUCAGAAAAGGCUCCCAGAGGCUAGAAAUGCCUCACAAAAGCUCAGACGCAGGAAAAGGAUGGUGAUCAAAAACCUAACUAGGAGCCAAGUUGAAACACAAGGUGUAUUGCACAUUCGGGAAGCGAUAAUGUAAGAAUGCCAUUUUGGAGUCUUUAAAUGAGGUCCAUACACAGAGUUACAGAGUUGCUCUAGGUGGAUUUUAGCAAGGAAGUACGUCAUGAACAUUUUCAAAGAAAAUCGGUUUUAUCCAGCCAUAUAAAAAUAGUAAUUUCUGAAUUAUGUGACUCAUAUCAUGGUUCGUCCUUUUUUUCUACAAGAUGAUUAUACUUAGAAGACUAGUAUUUUGAACUCUCUGAUGGUUUUCUUUGCAUCCCCACCAGCAGCUGAGUGGGUUCCUUGGUGGUUGUGUCAGUGCUACAGGAAAGCAGGACUGCUUCCUGGGUGCCGGUGAGUGCCCAAGCUAUUUCCUCAUUCUGAGGGUGAGACCUAAAGCUUCCUGCUGUUUUCCUUAUCUCCUCGAUAGCUUUCUGGUUUCUCCUGGAGAGAGAUCUUGCAGGGGGUGGGAAUC